GCAAACUUGGUCAUUUAGAGGAAGUAAAAGUCGUAACAAGGUUUCCGUAGGUGAACCUGCGGAAGGAUCAUUAUUGAAUUUAAACUUUGGCUGGGUUGCUGCUGGCUUUCCGAAGCAUGUGCACACCCAGUCCAAAAUUUAAAAACCCCUUGUGCACUCUCUGUAGACCUGAGUUUGAACUUCGACUGUGCUCCUUCCAGGUGCAGUCGGUCUGAGAACUGUUGUGCGAAAGCCAGCUUUUCUUGCGUUUUCAGGUCUACGUCUUCUUACACACACUUUUGCAGAAUGUAUUUGAAUGCUGUUUUUGGGCCAUCGUGCCUUUAAAUUUUAAUACAACUUUCAACAACGGAUCUCUUGGCUCUCGCAUCGAUGAAGAACGCAGC
Molecule: unclassified non-coding RNA, 383 nt
Filed under: uncultured fungus
Lineage: Eukaryota; Fungi
Description: partial contains small subunit ribosomal RNA, internal transcribed spacer 1, and 5.8S ribosomal RNA
Rfam family: Eukaryotic small subunit ribosomal RNA (bases 1-73)
Source: RNAcentral